GGUUAAGCGACCAAGCGUACACGGUGGAUGCCCUGGCAGUCAGAGGCGAUGAAGGACGUGCUAAUCUGCGAAAAGCGCCGGUAAGGUGAUAUGAACCGUUAUAACCGGCGAUGUCCGAAUGGGGAAACCCAGUGUGACUCGUCACACUAUCAUUAACUGAAUCCAUAGGUUAAUGAGGCGAACCGGGGGAACUGAAACAUCUAAGUACCCCGAGGAAAAGAAAUCAACCGAGAUUCCCCCAGUAGCGGCGAGCGAACGGGGAGGAGCCCAGAGCCUGAAUCAGCAUGUGUGUUAGUGGAAGCGUCUGGAAAGGCGCGCGAUACAGGGUGACAGCCCCGUACACAAAAGCGCAUGUGCUGUGAGCUCGAUGAGUAGGGCGGGACACGUGGUAUCCUGUCUGAAUAUGGGGGGACCAUCCUCCAAGGCUAAAUACUCCUGACUGACCGAUAGUGAACCAGUACCGUGAGGGAAAGGCGAAAAGAACCCCGGCGAGGGGAGUGAAACAGAACCUGAAACCGUGUACGUACAAGCAGUGGGAGCAUGAGUUUACUCAUGUGACUGCGUACCUUUUGUAUAAUGGGUCAGCGACUUAUAUUCUGUAGCAAGGUUAACCGAAUAGGGGAGCCGGAGGGAAACCGAGUCUUAACCGGGCGUUAAGUUGCAGGGUAUAGACCCGAAACCCGGUGAUCUAGCCAUGGGCAGGUUGAAGGUUGGGUAACACUAACUGGAGGACCGAACCGACUAAUGUUGAAAAAUUAGCGGAUGACCUGUGGCUGGGGGUGAAAGGCCAAUCAAACCGGGAGAUAGCUGGUUCUCCCCGAAAGCUAUUUAGGUAGCGCCUCGUGAAUUCAUCUCCGGGGGUAGAGCACUGUUUCGGCCAGGGGGCCAUCCCGGCUUACCAACCCGAUGCAAACUGCGAAUACCGGAGAAUGUUAUCACGGGAGACACACGGCGGGUGCUAACGUCCGUCGUGAAGAGGGAAACAACCCAGACCGCCAGCUAAGGUCCCAAAGUCAUGGUUAAGUGGGAAACGAUGUGGGAAGGCCCAGACAGCCAGGAUGUUGGCUUAGAAGCAGCCAUCAUUUAAAGAAAGCGUAAUAGCUCACUGGUCGAGUCGGCCUGCGCGGAAGAUGUAACGGGGCUAAACCAUGCACCGAAGCUGCGGCAGCGACACUGUGUGUUGUUGGGUAGGGGAGCGUUCUGUAAGCCUGCGAAGGUGUGCUGUGAGGCAUGCUGGAGGUAUCAGAAGUGCGAAUGCUGACAUAAGUAACGAUAAUGCGGGUGAAAAACCCGCACGCCGGAAGACCAAGGGUUCCUGUCCAACGUUAAUCGGGGCAGGGUGAGUCGACCCCUAAGGCGAGGCCGAAAGGCGUAGUCGAUGGGAAACAGGUUAAUAUUCCUGUACCUGGUGUUACUGCGAAGGGGGGACGGAGAAGGCUAUGUUGGCCGGGCGACGGUUGUCCCGGUUUAAGCGUGCAGGCUGGUUUUCCAGGCAAAUCCGGAAAAUCAAGGCUGAGGCGUGACGACGAGGCACUACGGUGCUGAAGCAACAAAUGCCCUGCUUCCAGGAAAAGCCUCUAAGCCUCAGGUAACAUCAGAUCGUACCCGAAACCGACACAGGUGGUCAGGUAGAGAAUACCAAGGCGCUUGAGAGAACCCGGGUGAAGGAACUAGGCAAAAUGGUGCCGUAACUUCGGGAGAAGGCACGCUGACACGUAGGUGAAGCGGUUUACCCGUGGAGCUGAAGUCAGUCGAAGAUACCAGCUGGCUGCAACUGUUUAUUAAAAACACAGCACUGUGCAAACACGAAAGUGGACGUAUACGGUGUGACGCCUGCCCGGUGCCGGAAGGUUAAUUGAUGGGGUCAGCGCAAGCGAAGCUCCUGAUCGAAGCCCCGGUAAACGGCGGCCGUAACUAUAACGGUCCUAAGGUAGCGAAAUUCCUUGUCGGGUAAGUUCCGACCUGCACGAAUGGCGUAAUGAUGGCCAGGCUGUCUCCACCCGGGACUCAGUGAAAUUGAACUCGCUGUGAAGAUGCAGUGUACCCGCGGCAAGACGGAAAGACCCCGUGAACCUUUACUAUAGCUUGACACUGAACACUGGUCCUUGAUGUGCAGGAUAGGUGGGAGGCUUUGAAGUGUGGACGCCAGUCUGCAUGGAGCCGUCCUUGAAAUACCACCCUUUAAUGGCUGGUGUUCUAACGUAGACCCGUGAACCGGGUUGCGGACAGUGUCUGGUGGGUAGUUUGACUGGGGCGGUCUCCUCCUAAAGCGUAACGGAGGAGCACGAAGGUUGGCUAAUCCUGGUCGGACAUCAGGAGGUUAGUGCAAUGGCAUAAGCCAGCUUGACUGCGAGCGUGACGGCGCGAGCAGGUGCGAAAGCAGGUCAUAGUGAUCCGGUGGUUCUGAAUGGAAGGGCCAUCGCUCAACGGAUAAAAGGUACUCCGGGGAUAACAGGCUGAUACCGCCCAAGAGUUCAUAUCGACGGCGGUGUUUGGCACCUCGAUGUCGGCUCAUCACAUCCUGGGGCUGAAGUAGGUCCCAAGGGUAUGGCUGUUCGCCAUUUAAAGUGGUACGCGAGCUGGGUUUAGAACGUCGUGAGACAGUUCGGUCCCUAUCUGCCGUGGGCGCUGGAGAACUGAGGGGGGCUGCUCCUAGUACGAGAGGACCGGAGUGGACGCAUCACUGGUGUUCGGGUUGUCAUGCCAAUGGCACUGCCCGGUAGCUAAAUGCGGAAGAGAUAAGUGCUGAAAGCAUCUAAGCACGAAACUUGCCCCGAGAUGAGUUCUCCCUGAGACUACAAGUCUCCUGAAGGAACGUUGAAGACGACGACGUUGAUAGGCCGGGUGUGUAAGCGCAGCGAUGCGUUGAGCUAACCGGUACUAAUGAACCGUGAGGCUUAACCUUAC
RNAcentral lists this ribosomal RNA (2907 nucleotides) under Salmonella enterica subsp. arizonae serovar 62:z4,z23:-. RNAcentral describes it as "bacterial LSU rRNA". It matches the Rfam family "Bacterial large subunit ribosomal RNA". Lineage: Bacteria; Pseudomonadati; Pseudomonadota; Gammaproteobacteria; Enterobacterales; Enterobacteriaceae. The record is from RNAcentral.